AGAGUUUGAUCCUGGCUCAGGAUGAACGCUGGCGGCGUGCCUAAUACAUGCAAGUCGAACGCACAGCGAAAGGUGCUUGCACCUUUCAAGUGAGUGGCGAACGGGUGAGUAACACGUGGACAACCUGCCUCAAGGCUGGGGAUAACAUUUGGAAACAGAUGCUAAUACCGAAUAAAACUCAGUGUCGCAUGACACAAAGUUAAAAGGCGCUUUGGCGUCACCUAGAGAUGGAUCCGCGGUGCAUUAGUUAGUUGGUGGGGUAAAGGCCUACCAAGACAAUGAUGCAUAGCCGAGUUGAGAGACUGAUCGGCCACAUUGGGACUGAGACACGGCCCAAACUCCUACGGGAGGCUGCAGUAGGGAAUCUUCCACAAUGGGCGAAAGCCUGAUGGAGCAACGCCGCGUGUGUGAUGAAGGCUUUCGGGUCGUAAAGCACUGUUGUAUGGGAAGAACAGCUAGAAUAGGGAAUGAUUUUAGUUUGACGGUACCAUACCAGAAAGGGACGGCUAAAUACGUGCCAGCAGCCGCGGUAAUACGUAUGU
This 542-nucleotide ribosomal RNA is filed under the name uncultured bacterium. RNAcentral describes it as "bacterial SSU rRNA". It matches the Rfam family "Bacterial small subunit ribosomal RNA", at positions 8 to 532 of the family's 1533-position model. The record is from RNAcentral.